GUAAAUAUAGCUUAAUUAAAGCAUUAGAUUGUGAAUCUAAAGUUAAAGUUUAAUCCCCUUUUAUUUACC
RNAcentral lists this transfer RNA (69 nucleotides) under Prosciurillus weberi (Weber's dwarf squirrel). Its description in RNAcentral is "tRNA-His". It matches the Rfam family "tRNA". From Rfam's summary of the family: Transfer RNA (tRNA) molecules are approximately 80 nucleotides in length. Their secondary structure includes four short double-helical elements and three loops (D, anti-codon, and T loops). The record is from RNAcentral. Lineage: Eukaryota; Metazoa; Chordata; Mammalia; Rodentia; Sciuridae.